UUUUGGAUAGUGUAUUGCUAUACAAAUAUCUAUUAAUUCAUCUAAAAUUUAAAUAAAAAUUGGUUGCAAACAUGUAGAGUGGGAACAAACUUCUGGGGGAAACAUGUGAGGUGCGAAAGUGUAUUGGGCGAGAAUGGACCUGAUACCGGUAGGGUUAGGGCAAACAAACAUAUUCUUUUAAAUGACCUGAAUGUUGUAUAAAGCAAACUAAAAUAAUCAAAAAGAAGGUCAUGGCUUCUCAACAUUUUAAGAAGAAAGCAGGUGUUCUGUC
This 271-nucleotide long non-coding RNA is filed under the name Mytilus galloprovincialis (Mediterranean mussel). The record is from RNAcentral. Lineage: Eukaryota; Metazoa; Mollusca; Bivalvia; Mytilida; Mytilidae.